AGUGAACGCUGGCGGUAGGCCUAACACAUGCAAGUCGAACGGCAGCACAGUAAGAGCUUGCUCUUACGGGUGGCGAGUGGCGGACGGGUGAGGAAUACAUCGGAAUCUACUUUUUCGUGGGGGAUAACGUAGGGAAACUUACGCUAAUACCGCAUACGACCUACGGGUGAAAGCAGGGGAUCUUCGGACCUUGCGCGAUUGAAUGAGCCGAUGUCGGAUUAGCUAGUUGGCGGGGUAAAGGCCCACCAAGGCGACGAUCGGUAGCUGGUCUGAGAGGAUGGACAGCCAGAUUGGAAGAGAGACACGGCAGAGACACUUACAGGAGGACGCAGUGGGGAAUCUUGCACGAUGGGGGAAAGCGUGAUACAGCAAUACCGGGUGGGGGAUGAAGGAGUUAUGGUUGGAGAGUGAUGUAGUCGUGAGAGAAAAGCAGCAGUUUUAUCCGGGGUGGUAAUGACGGUACCCGAAGAAUAAGCACCGGCUAACUUCGUG
This 492-nucleotide ribosomal RNA is filed under the name uncultured bacterium. RNAcentral describes it as "partial 16S ribosomal RNA". It matches the Rfam family "Bacterial small subunit ribosomal RNA", at positions 30 to 507 of the family's 1533-position model. The record is from RNAcentral.